This 62-nucleotide transfer RNA is filed under the name Megalurothrips usitatus (bean blossom thrips). RNAcentral's name for it is "tRNA-Thr". The record is from RNAcentral. Lineage: Eukaryota; Metazoa; Arthropoda; Insecta; Thysanoptera; Thripidae.
GUUUUUAUAGUUUAAUUAAAACAUUGAUUUUGUAAAUCAAAAAUAUAUAAUCCUGUAUUAAA